Molecule: ribosomal RNA, 253 nt
Filed under: uncultured bacterium
Lineage: Bacteria
Description: partial 16S ribosomal RNA
Rfam family: Bacterial small subunit ribosomal RNA
Source: RNAcentral
UACAGAGGGGGCAAGCGUUGUUCGGAAUUACUGGGCGUAAAGGGCGCGUAGGUGGCCUUCUAAGUCAUACGUGAAAUCCCCGGGCUCAACCCGGGAACUGCGUCUGAUACUGGAAGGCUUGAAUCCGGGAGAGGGAUGCGGAAUUCCAGGUGUAGCGGUGAAAUGCGUAGAUAUCUGGAGGAACACCGGUGGCGAAGGCGGCAUCCUGGACCGGCAUUGACGCUGAGGCGCGAAAGCCAGGGGAGCAAACGGG